This 465-nucleotide ribosomal RNA is filed under the name Vreelandella stevensii. Its description in RNAcentral is "partial 16S ribosomal RNA". It matches the Rfam family "Bacterial small subunit ribosomal RNA", at positions 338 to 795 of the family's 1533-position model. The record is from RNAcentral. Lineage: Bacteria; Pseudomonadati; Pseudomonadota; Gammaproteobacteria; Oceanospirillales; Halomonadaceae.
CCUACGGGGGGCUGCAGUGGGGAAUAUUGGACAAUGGGCGAAAGCCUGAUCCAGCCAUGCCGCGUGUGUGAAGAAGGCCUUCGGGUUGUAAAGCACUUUCAGUGGGGAAGAAAGCCUUGGGGCUAAUACCCUCGAGGAAGGACAUCACCCACAGAAGAAGCACCGGCUAACUCCGUGCCAGCAGCCGCGGUAAUACGGAGGGUGCGAGCGUUAAUCGGAAUUACUGGGCGUAAAGCGCGCGUAGGCGGUCUGAUAAGCCGGUUGUGAAAGCCCCGGGCUCAACCUGGGAACGGCAUCCGGAACUGUCAGGCUAGAGUGCAGGAGAGGAAGGUAGAAUUCCCGGUGUAGCGGUGAAAUGCGUAGAGAUCGGGAGGAAUACCAGUGGCGAAGGCGGCCUUCUGGACUGACCCUGACGCUGAGGUGCGAAAGCGUGGGUAGCAAACAGGAUUAGAUACCCGUGUAGUC